Molecule: long non-coding RNA, 367 nt
Filed under: Elaeis guineensis (African oil palm)
Lineage: Eukaryota; Viridiplantae; Streptophyta; Magnoliopsida; Arecales; Arecaceae
Description: long non-coding RNA (EGUI_LNC035368)
Source: RNAcentral
GUGCGAGGCAAAGAAAAACCACUGCUUCCAACCAUGGAUAGCAGAAGGGAACCCCUCACCAAACUUACACUUCACUUGAGGGGUGAAGUACCUGCACCCAUUAUCAUACAGGUGCCUCUUCAAAAAGAAGAGGGAGUGGAAGAGAGAGCACCUCAGCAUGACCUAGAGUAAAUCGCAUGCAAGGAGAAAGCAAGCUACUAUGACCUUGAUACUAUUGGAGAUAAGCUGGGUCGGCUCAACCAAAUAAUAAUCUAAAAUGUUAGGGAAGAAGGGAUGACGAGGAAAUUGAAGAUCAGCUUCGAAGAAUUCCUCGUACAAAGCAACUGACCCCUCAGGAGGGUCAGUCAUGCCGUGCAUCAUGGUAGGC